GGGCGUGUAGCUCAGUUGGUAGAGCAGCUGACUCUUAAUCAGCGGGUCGCGGGUUCGAGGCCUGCCACGCCCACCA
Molecule: transfer RNA, 76 nt
Filed under: Bacillota bacterium
Lineage: Bacteria; Bacillati; Bacillota
Also listed under: 3 other names
Description: tRNA-Lys
Rfam family: tRNA
About the family: Transfer RNA (tRNA) molecules are approximately 80 nucleotides in length.
Source: RNAcentral